GCAUAUCAAUAAGCGGAGGAAAAAAAACCCAACAGGGGAUUGCCCCUAGUAACGGCGAGUGAAGCGGCAACAGCUCAAAUUUGAAAUCUGGCCCUAGCGGUCCGAGUUGUAAUUUGUAGAGGAUGCUUUUGGUGAGGUGCCUUCCGAGUUCCCUGGAACGGGACGCCGGAGAGGGUGAGAGCCCCGUACGGUUGGACGCCAAACCUCUGUAUAGCUCCUUCGACGAGUCGAGUAGUUUGGGAAUGCUGCUCUAAAUGGGAGGUAAAUUUCUUCUAAAGCUAAAUACCGGCCAGAGACCGAUAGCGCACAAGUAGAGUGAUCGAAAGAUGAAAAGCACUUUGAAAAGAGGGUUAAAUAGCACGUGAAAUUGUUGAAAGGGAAGCGUUUGCGACCAGACUUUUUCCAGGCGGAUCAUCCGGCGUUCUCGCCGGUGCACUCCGCCUGGUUGAGGCCAGCAUCGGUUUCCUUAGGGGGAUAAAGGCCUGGGGAACGUAGCUCCUUCGGGAGUGUUAUAGCCCCUGGCGUAAUACCCCUCGGGGGACCGAGGAACGCGCUCUGCAAGGAUGCUGGCGUAAUGGUCGUCAACGACCCGUCUUGAAACACGGACCAAGGAGUCGAACAUUUGUGCGAGUGUUUGGGUGUCAAACCCUCACGCGUAAUGAAAGUGAACGGAGGUGAGAGCCCUUACGGGUGCAUCAUCGACCGAUCCUGAUGUCUUCGGAUGGAUUUGAGUAAGAGCAUAACUGUUCGGACCCGAAAGAUGGUGAACUAUGCGUGGAUAGGGUGAAGCCAGAGGAAACUCUGGUGGAGGCUCGCAGCGGUUCUGACGUGCAAAUCGAUCGUCAAAUCUGCGUCAUGGGGUGGAAGAGACUUAUCGAAACCAUCUAAUUAGCUGGUUACCGCGAC
Molecule: ribosomal RNA, 906 nt
Filed under: Daldinia eschscholtzii
Lineage: Eukaryota; Fungi; Ascomycota; Sordariomycetes; Xylariales; Hypoxylaceae
Description: partial large subunit ribosomal RNA
Rfam family: Eukaryotic large subunit ribosomal RNA
Source: RNAcentral